RNAcentral lists this ribosomal RNA (253 nucleotides) under uncultured bacterium. RNAcentral's name for it is "partial 16S ribosomal RNA". It matches the Rfam family "Bacterial small subunit ribosomal RNA", at positions 524 to 776 of the family's 1533-position model. The record is from RNAcentral.
UACAGAGGUGGCAAGCGUUGUUCGGAAUUACUGGGCGUAAAGGGCGCGUAGGCGGUCUUUUAAGUCUUGUGUGAAAUCCCUCGGCUCAACUGAGGAACUGCACGGGAUACUGGAAGACUUGAGUUCGGGAGAGGGAAGCGGAAUUCCGGGUGUAGCGGUGAAAUGCGUAGAUAUCUGGAGGAACACCGGUGGCGAAGGCGGCAUCCUGGACCAUUAUUGACGCUGAGGAGCGAAAGCCAGGGGAGCAAACGGG